RNAcentral lists this ribosomal RNA (497 nucleotides) under uncultured bacterium. RNAcentral's name for it is "partial 16S ribosomal RNA". It matches the Rfam family "Bacterial small subunit ribosomal RNA", at positions 28 to 507 of the family's 1533-position model. The record is from RNAcentral.
GAUGAACGCUGGCGGCGUGCCUAAUACAUGCAAGUCGAGCGAACGGACGAGAAGCUGGCUUCUCUGAGGUUAGCGGCGGACGGGUGAGUAACACGUGGAUAACCUACCUAUAAGACUGGGAUAACUUCGGGAAACCGUAGCUAAGACCGGAUAAUAUUUUGAACCGCAUGGUUCAAAAGUGAAAGACGGUCGUGCUGUCACUUAUAGAUGGAUCCGCGCUGCAUUAGCUAGUUGGUAAGGUAACGGCUUACCAAGGCAACGAUGCAUAGCCGACCUGAGAGGGUGAUCGGCCACCCUGGAACUGAGACACGGUCCCGACUCCUACGGGAGGCCGCAGUAGGGAAUCUUCCGCAAUGGGCGAAAGCCUGACGGAGCAACGCCGCGUGAGUGAUGAAGGUCUUCGGCUCGUAAAACUCUGUUAUUAGGGAAGAACAUAUGUGUAAGUAACUGUGCACAUCUUGACGGUACCUAAUCAGAAAGCCACGGCUAACUACGUG